Molecule: ribosomal RNA, 1074 nt
Filed under: Triticum aestivum (bread wheat)
Lineage: Eukaryota; Viridiplantae; Streptophyta; Magnoliopsida; Poales; Poaceae
Description: partial small subunit ribosomal RNA
Source: RNAcentral
AUGAAGAGACUUUUGAGGGGCUCAUCGAGCCGAAGCUCGAAGAAAAAGGCACAGAAGCCCAAGUAUAAUCUGCCUCGCACCGCGGAGGUUCUGCCGUGUGAAUGGCCUUCCGGUGAAUUCUUGAGAGCAGCCGGGAUUUAUGAUGAUUUUUAUGAAUUGGCUGAGAAUGCAGGCCUCGCCACCUUCCUCCACGACCAACGCGAACAGUAUCUCUUACUCACAAAUAUCUUUGUGCAAAACUUUCAUUUCCAAUCUAGGAGCUCACUACCUACGGUGGAGUUUUAUUUAUAUGAGGAGCAUAAGGAGAUGUCACUUUAUGAUUUUUGUCGGGUUUGGUUGGUCCCUUUUGAGGGCACGAUAGAGGAACCACAUCGUGGCAAUGUGGAUGGGUUUAUUGAUACCAUCACUAUAGGGGAAAGGAGGAAGGUUUCCAAUGCACGAAUCACUAGCAUACAUUUUCCUGUUUUACACUACUUUGCAAUAUUUGCUAGUCGUUGCUUAAUUGGUCGUGGAAACUGUGGAAAGCUUAGUGUUCCUGAUAUUAUUAUUUUGUUCCACGGUUUAUUCAGUGAUAACUCUGUUAGUAUGGGCAGUAUUAUUGCUAAAUGGUUAAGUCUGAACCAUACAAAGGGUCCCAUCUUUGGAGGCAUCUAUGAUUCACGCUUAGCUGCACAUUUUAACAUACCUAUUAGGCAUUAUGAGAAGGAAGAAAAAUUGUUGCCCACUGUUUAUUUAGAUUAUAAAAGUAUGGUGGCACAUGACUUUAUUGUUAAGAAUAGGGAAGGGGAGCUUAAAUACAAAUUGUUUUUCCAUAAACAUCAUCCUGAGACUAUUACCCUGCUUGCUCCUUCCUUGUUUGAUUUAUCUGCAGGCCAGUACCUUGUUCCAUUACAGGCUAUUCACGCCUACUGGAACCCUACAUCAGCCACAGAGCCAGAGUCGGAACCACAAGUUGAUCCUCCACGACAGUCUAAUUACCAUUGGGAUCCGGAGAUGAUUGCCAACCGGUGGCAAUCAGAGUCUUCUUCAUCGCAGUACGACCCCAACUAUUACUAUGGAUAUCCGCCAGGCUAG